GAUGAACGCUAGCGGCGGGCUUAAUACAUGCAAGUCAAGGGGUAGCAAUACACCGGCGUACGGGUGCGUAACGCGUAUGGAACCUGCCCUUAUCUGGGGGAUAACUCGGGGAAACUCGAGCUAAUACCGCAUAAGAUAGUAGAGAGGCAUCUUUCAGCUAUUAAAGAUUUAUCGGAUAAGGAUGGCCAUGCGUAAGAUUAGAUAGUUGGCGAGGUAACGGCUCACCAAGUCUACGAUCUUUAGGGGCUCUGAGAGGAGAAUCCCCCCACACUGGCACUGAGAUACGGGCCAGACUCCUACGGGAGGCAGCAGUAGGGAAUAUUGGGCAAGUGGGCGGAAGCCUGACCCAGCCACGCCGCGUGCAGGAAGACCGGCCCUCGUGGGUUAGUAAACUGUCUUUUAACGUGGGAAAGAAAGCAGCUCAUGCGUGAGAAUUUGACGGUACCAGUUGAAUAAGCCACGG
This 463-nucleotide ribosomal RNA is filed under the name uncultured bacterium. Its description in RNAcentral is "bacterial SSU rRNA". It matches the Rfam family "Bacterial small subunit ribosomal RNA", at positions 28 to 496 of the family's 1533-position model. The record is from RNAcentral.